Molecule: ribosomal RNA, 568 nt
Filed under: uncultured bacterium
Lineage: Bacteria
Description: partial 16S ribosomal RNA
Rfam family: Bacterial small subunit ribosomal RNA
Source: RNAcentral
UGGGGAAUAUUGGACAAUGGGCGCAAGCCUGAUCCAGCAAUGCCGCGUGUGUGAAGAAGGCCUUCGGGUUGUAAAGCACUUUUAUCAGGAGCGAAACGCUGUCGGCUAAUACCCGGCGGAACUGACGGUACCUGAGGAAUAAGCACCGGCUAACUUCGUGCCAGCAGCCGCGGUAAUACGAAGGGUNCAAGCGUUAAUCGGAAUUACUGGGCGUAAAGCGUGCGUAGGCGGUUUCUUAAGUCUGCUGUGAAAUCCCCGGGCUCAACCUGGGAAUGGCAGUGGAUACUGGGAGGCUAGAGUGUGUCAGAGGGCGGUGGAAUUCCCGGUGUAGCGGUGAAAUGCGUAGAGAUCGGGAGGAACAUCAGUGGCGAAGGCGGCCACCUGGGACAACACUGACGCUGAGGCACGAAAAGCGUGGGGGAGCAAACAGGAUUAGAUACCCUGGUAGUCCACGCCCCUAAAACGAUGCGAACUGGAUGUUGGUCUCGACUCGGAGAUCAGUGUCGAAGCUAACGCGUUAAGUUCGCCGCCUGGGGGAGUACGGUCGCAAGACUGAAACUCAAAGGAA